Molecule: long non-coding RNA, 1054 nt
Organism: Physcomitrium patens
Lineage: Eukaryota; Viridiplantae; Streptophyta; Bryopsida; Funariales; Funariaceae
Source: RefSeq, a predicted model, not a curated record
ACAAACACGUUUGUUUCGAGAUCCACGCUGCGUCUGUAAAGCAAUGUCGCGGAGUCGCAGACGCGUACCAGGGGAUGGAUUCGAGAGGAGGCGAGCAGCAGUUGGGUGUGUGUGUCUGUACCCACCUUGGAUUCGUCGAGACUUCGGUGGGCCCACUUCGGGUUGAUGAUUCCCAAGCUCUUCUUCACCCUUGAGUCUGAGAUUGCGUCGGCAUUCUUCGACGCAGAAUUUGCUGUCAUUCUUCGCUUUCGACAGACAGUGUGGGAAUCGUUUGAGACGCCGGUGGUUAGAUCUCGAGAUUUUGUGACGGAUUGAUAGCCUGAGAGGAUGGAGUACUCACCGCGCUAUGCUCGAGUGAGGAAGGCUGCGGAGAUGAAGCGCGGAGGGUGGAUGCCGUUGGGGCGUCGGGGCAAAAUCAAGAGGAUGCUUGUCCAGUCAUGCCUUGCGGCUGUUUGUUGCCUGUGCUGCUUUCGGAGUCACUCUGACGACGCAGAGAAGUCCCGGGAGGAUGAAGUGGCCAUGACCCAAGUGGGCAUGGCAGAUCAGGGUCCGAUUUCUUCACAAAACCCUUUCGACCCAGAGUUUUAGGAGUAGUGCAUCGCUCUUCCUGCGUCAAGGUCUUCCUAAUCCAAACUGAUCGCCAUUGCGGCGUUACCUUCAUGUGCUCGUAACUAUGUAAACCUUCUAUCUGCAGUGUGUUCAUGAUGUUCUAUCCUCGUCGAAGAUUACUGCUCUCGAUUUAAUUAGACAUCAGAGAGUCACACAAUUAGUUAGUCCACAACAGUUUUUGUAAGGAACCCACUCGGUUCUCACUUGCUAGUCGAGUGUAGUUUUAGAAUCACGAACAUCGGGAUUACCAAGAGUAGUUGACUCAUCCAAACGGCAGGAUCGAAACCCUAAACAUCAGCUUGCUUGCUUCAAACAAGAUGUCAAUUUGUACAGUGCCAUUGCUCAUUCACGGGAAAUUGUGCAUAUGGUGCAGACAGAAAGCUGGAACUGAGACAUUCUCAAGCUUGAAAUGAAUCAAAUCAUUUUUUUAUCAUGAUUUUAGGCA